UACGUAGGGUGCAAGCGUUGUCCGGAAUUAUUGGGCGUAAAGAGCUUGUAGGCGGUUUGUCGCGUCUGCUGUGAAAUUUCGGGGCUCAACCCCGAACUUGCAGUGGGUACGGGCAGACUAGAGUGUGGUAGGGGAGACUGGAAUUCCUGGUGUAGCGGUGAAAUGCGCAGAUAUCAGGAGGAACACCGAUGGCGAAGGCAGGUCUCUGGGCCACUACUGAUGCUGAGAAGCGAAAGCAUGGGGAGCGAACAGG
RNAcentral lists this ribosomal RNA (253 nucleotides) under uncultured bacterium. RNAcentral's name for it is "partial 16S ribosomal RNA". It matches the Rfam family "Bacterial small subunit ribosomal RNA", at positions 524 to 776 of the family's 1533-position model. The record is from RNAcentral.